GGCGUAGGAUAUUUGAGAGGAGCUGCCCUUAGUACGAGAGGACCGGGGUGGACGGACCACUGGUGUAUCUGUUAGGAACCAAUCCUAUGGCAGAGUAGCCAAGUCCGGCAGGGAUAAACGCUGAAGGCAUCUAAGCGUGAAGCCCCCCUCAAGAUGAGAUAUCCCAAGUAAUAAGACCCCUUGAAGACUACGAGGUAGAUAGGGCCAAGGUGUAAGUGCAGUAAUGCAUUCAGCUGAUGGUUACUAAUAGGUCGAAAGCUUAUCCAG
Molecule: ribosomal RNA, 267 nt
Filed under: Lachnospiraceae bacterium
Lineage: Bacteria; Bacillati; Bacillota; Clostridia; Lachnospirales; Lachnospiraceae
Description: partial 23S ribosomal RNA
Rfam family: Bacterial large subunit ribosomal RNA
Source: RNAcentral